Molecule: ribosomal RNA, 327 nt
Filed under: Pluteus cervinus
Lineage: Eukaryota; Fungi; Basidiomycota; Agaricomycetes; Agaricales; Pluteaceae
Description: LSU rRNA
Rfam family: Bacterial large subunit ribosomal RNA
Source: RNAcentral
GCGGUGGCACAGAAUCGGAGGCCCCGACUGUUUACUAAAAACACAACACAGUGCAAUCAUUAAUAUGAUAGUAUACUGUGUGAAAUUUGCCCAAUGCCAUUAAUAUAAGAGCGGUCAUGGGGAACUGUGACUAAUCGAAAAUCUGGUUAAUAGCGGUCUUAACUAUGAGGAUCCUAAGGUAGCAAAAUAAAUUGGCCAUUAAAUGUGGUCCGGUAUCAAUAAUGUAACGAUGGCCUCACUGUCUCUACAACUUGCUCAGUGAAAUUGAAUUACGCGUGCAGAUGCGCGUUGCCUCCAGGGGGACGGGAAGACCCUAUGCAGCUUCUA